This 531-nucleotide long non-coding RNA is filed under the name Brachypodium distachyon (stiff brome). RNAcentral's name for it is "long non-coding RNA (BDIS_LNC004519)". The record is from RNAcentral. Lineage: Eukaryota; Viridiplantae; Streptophyta; Magnoliopsida; Poales; Poaceae.
AGGAACGGAGGGAGUAUGUGGUAAAACCAAACAACUUUUAUUGUAUAUUCAUGCGAUCUCAAAUUCUAUCAAUUCCAUUUUGUUUUCGAACUAUCGAAUUCCACCUGCCAUGCAUGGCGCCUUUUUUUCGAAAACAAAAUCAUCACCCCUAUCUUGUCAACAACAUGAAAAACAACGGUUUAACUACAGGAUUUUACUUGUUCAAUAUUUUGUAUAAUAGGCACACGGCUUUGUCUACAGAUUUGGACAUCAGUUAUCUCAGAUACUCAAUUUGGACCUUGUGCACACACGACCAAUUGUAAAUGGAAAACUGAGCACCGUUUAAUCGACAGAUCAACCAUGUUAUCAUUUUCGUGGAAAUAAAAAAGAAAGUGGGAAGCACCCCAAAUUUUAAAAACGCACUUAAUUUGGACACGUAAAAUUAUUGUUUAAUCGUUUGACCUCAAAACCAAAUAAUCAUAACGGAAAGGAAGAAAAAAAAGAAAAAACGUGUGAACCAGCAAGGAGAGGAAAACCAGCCGGAGAUAACGG